GUGCUUGCUUCGGCAGCACAUAUACUAAAAUGGGAACAAUACAGAGAAGAUUACUAUGGCCCCUGCGCAAGAUGACACCCAAAUUCGUGAAGCAUUCCGUAUUUUU
This is a small nuclear RNA of Psammomys obesus (fat sand rat), 106 nucleotides long. The record is from RefSeq and is a predicted model, not a curated record. Lineage: Eukaryota; Metazoa; Chordata; Mammalia; Rodentia; Muridae.